GCCAGGCAUGGUGGCACGCACCUGUAGUCCCAGCUACUCAGGAGGCUGAGGCAAGAGGAUCGCUUGAGCCCAGGAGGUUGGGGCUGUAGUGAGCUGUGACCAUGCCACUAUACUCUAGCCUGGGCGACAGAGUGAGACCUUGUCUUUU
Unclassified non-coding RNA from Papio anubis (olive baboon), 148 nucleotides. It matches the Rfam family "Metazoan signal recognition particle RNA". Rfam says of the family: The signal recognition particle (SRP) is a universally conserved ribonucleoprotein. It is involved in the co-translational targeting of proteins to membranes. Lineage: Eukaryota; Metazoa; Chordata; Mammalia; Primates; Cercopithecidae. The record is from Ensembl.